This 319-nucleotide ribosomal RNA is filed under the name uncultured bacterium. RNAcentral describes it as "bacterial SSU rRNA". It matches the Rfam family "Bacterial small subunit ribosomal RNA", at positions 470 to 789 of the family's 1533-position model. The record is from RNAcentral.
GGACGGUACCUUUCGAGGAAGCCACGGCUAACUACGUGCCAGCAGCCGCGGUAAUACGUAGGUGGCGAGCGUUGUCCGGAAUUAUUGGGCGUAAAGGGAGCGCAGGUGGGACUUCAAGUCAGUCUUAAAAGUGCGGGGCUCAACUCCGUGAUGGGAUUGAAACUGUAGUUCUUGAGUGCAGGAGAGGAAAGCGGAAUUCCUAGUGUAGCGGUGAAAUGCGUAGAUAUUAGGAGGAACACCAGUGGCGAAGGCGGCUUUCUGGACUGUAACUGACACUGAGGCUCGAAAGCGUGGGGAGCGAACAGGAUUAGAUACCCUG